UACAGAGGGUGCAAGCGUUAAUCGGAAUUACUGGGCGUAAAGCGCGCGUAGGUGGUUCGUUAAGUUGGAUGUGAAAUCCCCGGGCUCAACCUGGGAACUGCAUUCAAAACUGUCGAGCUAGAGUAUGGUAGAGGGUGGUGGAAUUUCCUGUGUAGCGGUGAAAUGCGUAGAUAUAGGAAGGAACACCAGUGGCGAAGGCGACCACCUGGACUAAUACUGACACUGAGGUGCGAAAGCGUGGGGAGCAAACAGG
RNAcentral lists this ribosomal RNA (253 nucleotides) under uncultured bacterium. RNAcentral describes it as "partial 16S ribosomal RNA". It matches the Rfam family "Bacterial small subunit ribosomal RNA", at positions 524 to 776 of the family's 1533-position model. The record is from RNAcentral.